GCGGACUAGACCCACCCCCAACCUGUUUGGGCAUUAAUGGGCCAAGUAGGUGCGGGAAGGACAAAUUAGAAACGCGUCAAGGGAUUUCCCUGGCGGUAAAGUGGCUCUGGAGGCUGGAAGUCCAAACUCAAGUUUCCCAUGGAUUCCGUGUCUGGUCCUAGGAGAGACUGGCAUGCCACCCCACACAGGAGCCAUAUAGGAGGAGCACCUGGAGAGCAUUCUCAACGAAGCAGAAGAGUGGGGCCCCCUAGCUCCUCUCCAGGCCUCUGAGCCCCAGGCUCCUAGAAGAAACAGAGACAGCCUCUCCCGGCCGGCUGCAGAACAAGAACUACGCUACCACGCGCACCACAACCAGAGAAGCCCGCGGGCCCCAACGAAGACGUAG
Molecule: long non-coding RNA, 385 nt
Organism: Globicephala melas (long-finned pilot whale)
Lineage: Eukaryota; Metazoa; Chordata; Mammalia; Artiodactyla; Delphinidae
Source: RefSeq, a predicted model, not a curated record